This 197-nucleotide long non-coding RNA is filed under the name Salvator merianae (Argentine black and white tegu). RNAcentral describes it as "lncRNA (ENSSMRG00000014239.1)". The record is from RNAcentral. Lineage: Eukaryota; Metazoa; Chordata; Lepidosauria; Squamata; Teiidae.
GGGCUGGCUGCUCUUCGUAACCUGGCCAAGGCACGUUUAUGGGCACUUAAAGGCAAAUUCUCUGGAGGCACUGAGUGAGAAACAAGGGAGAUGCUGUUAUUUGCAUUGGCAAGAAUGCAACUGACUCGUUGGCAGUGUAGCAACAAUAACUGGGGCAACAGAAACACUGGCAGUGGCUGCCUCUGGAUCAGGUCUGU